Molecule: long non-coding RNA, 544 nt
Filed under: Homo sapiens (human)
Lineage: Eukaryota; Metazoa; Chordata; Mammalia; Primates; Hominidae
Description: non-protein coding lnc-TCEAL2-5:1
Source: RNAcentral
UCACCUCACCCAACAACAGCGAAUCCACACAGGGGAGAAGCCCUAUGAAUGCAAUGACUGUAGCAAGGCAUUCAGUCACAGCUUGUCCCUCACCAAACAUUAGCGAAUCCACGCUGGGGAGAAGCCAGCCCUACGAAUGCAACCAGUGUGGCAGAGCCUUCAGCCAGCUUGCUCCCCUCAUUCAGCAUCAGAGGAUCCACACAGGAGAGAAACCCUAUGAAUGUAACCAGUGUGGCAGAGCCUUCGGCCAGAGCUCCCGUCUCAUCGAACACCAGAGGAUUCACACCAAGGAAAAGCCCUAUCGGUGCAAUGAGUGUGGGAAAUCCUUCAGCCACAGCUCCUUGCUCAGCCAGCAUGAAAGGACGCACACUGGGGAAAAGUCCCAUGGGUGUCACGAUUGCGGAAAGUCCUUUAGGCAGAGCACCCACCUCACUCAGCACCGGAGGAUCCACACAGGAGAGAAGCCAUAUGUGUGCAGGGACUGUGGAAAGGCCCUUACACACAGCUCCUCCCUUACCAAGCACCAGAGAAUUCACACUGGAUA